Chroicocephalus ridibundus (black-headed gull) is the source of this 331-nucleotide long non-coding RNA. RefSeq lists it as uncharacterized. NCBI's taxonomy places the organism in Eukaryota, Metazoa, Chordata, Aves, Charadriiformes, Laridae. The transcript has 3 exons. The record is from RefSeq and is a predicted model, not a curated record.
AAGACAAGAUCCCGCUCCUAACUCCCGCUAAGAAAAGCCCGUGAUCUAUGAGGCUGAAUAAAUAACCCCGAGUCCCCGCGUUUGAGGGACAGCGAAGCCGCUUUGGCCUCAUCCCGCCUCUCCGUUUGGCCAGCAUCCAGAAUUUCUCAGCUGAGACCUGACCACCGCGCUUCCAGCCCCCGAUGGAUCCCACCGGUCUCCGCAGGGGGCUUGGAGCAUCCCCACCUCUUUCGCCCUCAGAUGGCAGGUUUUUUGUCCUGCAAUAUACGAUGCUACAAAUAACGAACAGGGGAAUUACACUUUAUCCAAGCUGGGAUUGAUGCCCGCUGGC